CCAUGUUUCAUAUACAUCAUUUAAAGAAUCUACACUCUAUGCUCGUCUCUCUGUGCGUAGUCUUUUGACAUUCAACUUUUUAUUGUUUCAUGAUCCUAUGUGCAAAGCCUAAUUGAUCUAUCUGUCUCUAGACCCGAGUCGCGUAUAAUUAUUUCAAGGAUGCUCAGAAUAUCGCUAAGGAGAUCAAAUUAGUUUUCCAAUGACCCAAAAAGAAUAGCUGAGCUUCGCAGAUUGGAGAUGGUCACGGAGCACAAUAGAGUUGCGCUAAUCAUCAUUUGCCAGAUAGGAGCCUUGACCCAUCACUGAAGGUUUCGAGUUCAUCCGCCAUCCUUGCUUUGCUACUGCUGUAAAGAGAUCUUGAAGGUUUAUUUCAAAGAUUACCAUCAAUUUUGGAUCACAGAGGUUGGCGUGACAGGUAUCUCUUGCUUCAAAAUUGAACAAACAGACAAGUCAAGAAGAAGAUUCAACCAUCAGUUAUUCCACUGUAUGUUUUUAGGCUGUAAUCGUCCAACUCGGUGAUAUCAGCAAUGAUUUUCAUCUCUCUAUGGGAUUCCGAUGAUAACAUAUUUAUAAUAAAGAAAUUAAGUAUUCAUAAGAGAAAGCCAAGCCGUGACUAACAAGCCUCAAGAUUAUCCAAAUAACUUCAAAAUGCAAGUGAGUAUCUUUGAUAAAAGGGGCCGAAUCUCAAGAGUGAUAUACUGCUCUGCUGUAGUAAAGCACAGGACACAUAAAUUUAGAUAAAAAGUCUGUGUAUAU
Molecule: long non-coding RNA, 756 nt
Organism: Hevea brasiliensis (rubber tree)
Lineage: Eukaryota; Viridiplantae; Streptophyta; Magnoliopsida; Malpighiales; Euphorbiaceae
Exons: 3
Source: RefSeq, a predicted model, not a curated record